UGGGGAAUAUUGCGCAAUGGGCGAAAGCCUGACGCAGCGACGCCGCGUGAGGGAUGACGGCCUUCGGGUUGUAAACCUCUUUCAGCAGGGACGAAGCGAAAGUGACGGUACCUGCAGAAGAAGCGCCGGCCAACUACGUGCCAGCAGCCGCGGUAAUACGUAGGGCGCAAGCGUUGUCCGGAAUUAUUGGGCGUAAAGAGCUCGUAGGCGGUUUGUCACGUCGGCUGUGAAAACCCGAGGCUCAACCUCGGGCCUGCAGUCGAUACGGGCAGACUAGAGUGCUGUAGGGGAGACUGGAAUUCCUGGUGUAGCGGUGAAAUGCGCAGAUAUCAGGAGGAACACCGGUGGCGAAGGCGGGUCUCUGGGCAGUAACUGACGCUGAGGAGCGAAAGCGUGGGGAGCAAAC
RNAcentral lists this ribosomal RNA (406 nucleotides) under uncultured bacterium. RNAcentral's name for it is "bacterial SSU rRNA". It matches the Rfam family "Bacterial small subunit ribosomal RNA", at positions 355 to 773 of the family's 1533-position model. The record is from RNAcentral.